RNAcentral lists this non-coding RNA (408 nucleotides) under Pan troglodytes (chimpanzee). The record is from RNAcentral. Lineage: Eukaryota; Metazoa; Chordata; Mammalia; Primates; Hominidae.
GGUUGUAUUAAUAGACAUACAGUAGCCAUAAUAAAGAAGAUAAACGUUCCCCCAUCUUCUAUAACCUAAAUGAGAAAGGAAUUGGUGAUGGUUAGCCUGAAGAAAGAAGGGAUUGGUGGAAGCACGGUGACAUUAGAACAGCAUCAUAAACAUAUCUGUAGCAUGGGACAAUUGACCUGCCUAGAAGACGACUGGGCCAGGAGCAUGACAUAAUUUCAAGUCAGUUGAAGAAAAUAGAAAAAGAACUGCUGAGUAGACGCACUGGUCCAAGAACGGUGAAAGACAUGUAAAGCAGAUGUAAACCCAACAGCUGAAGAAGAGUUGCCCAACUCCGCCAGCCUAGAUCAAAUUGCAGUCAAAUGUACACCCUUGAGCAUGGGAAUAAAUUCACAUUUUUGUAAAUCAUGA